This is a long non-coding RNA of Notothenia coriiceps (black rockcod), 1345 nucleotides long. RefSeq lists it as uncharacterized. The transcript is spliced from 2 exons. The record is from RefSeq and is a predicted model, not a curated record. Lineage: Eukaryota; Metazoa; Chordata; Actinopteri; Perciformes; Nototheniidae.
UAAUAACCUUAAUCUGAAAUGUAAAUACAUAUGUAAAAUAAAUUACAUUGCGCGUGUCAUUCCCUUUCAACUCUGUCUCUCGCAAAAAUGAUCCUAAAAAUAAAUGCAUGUUGCUCCUGUCUCUCCUGUGACACCAGGGGUGGAGGAGGCCAUGGGCACGGAGAACAGCGGGGUGCUGUACGCUCUGUGGAGCUACCCGGCUCAGCUAGCCGAUGAGCUGAGCUUCAAAGAGGCCGACAUGGUCACCAUCCUGCAGAGACCUGAGGGGUCCGACUGGUGGUGGGCCUCGCUCUGCGGCAGGGAGGGCUUCGUUCCAAAUAACUACUUUGGGCUCUUCCCGAAGGUUCGACCUAAAUCUCUCUGCUAAGCUGACGACGGUCAAACUGGUGCAGAGGACUGUCUUGUAAAAAAUGAAGCUAACAGCGUCAGGAUGUGUGUGUGUGUGUGUGUGUGUGUGUGUGUGUGUGUGUGUGUGUGUGUGUGUGUGUGUGUGUGUGUGUGUGUGUGUGUGUGUGGGUGUGGUUACGGUUACGAAAGGAGAGAGGGAUGGUUUGGAUCCAUCAGUGGAGAAGAGUUGCAGGAGAAGUAUUUAUUCGGCCGUCACUGACCAAGAUGAAUCCGAGACAUUGUUUGUAUCCUCUCUGCUGUAGGAAAAUAAUUUCUAGUACAACUGUUAUUAUCCAAAUGUUAGAGAGCAGGCCAGAUUCCCUGCUGUCCCGCGUUGACAUUUCUGGCUCAUUGCCUGGUUGGGAAUAAGAAGGCAAACUGUUGAUGUUCUUUAGAGAGGUCAAUGUACGCUGUUAACAAGCCAUGGUGGCUCCAUUUAGAAAAGGGCUGCUUCUAACACAUUAACCUCCUCAUUCCUGGAGGAGAGUCGUCAAAGAAGCGUCAAACUGAAAAGUGAAAACGAUUCUGCUUAUUUUAUAAUAUUAUUAAAAUAUUUUCUGUGUACAUAUCAAUGUUUGUCCAAUGGAUCCAGAGAAAGAAAUCAAACCUGUGAAGAGUUUAAAGAGCGAUGUUUAGUUUUACAUUUUUUAAAUCAGCCACAGCAGUAACGUAACUUCCUUUUUUAUUUACUUAGUUCUCGUCGUGUACAUGAUUCUUAAUCCUGCCUUAAAUAAGCGUAUUUCUUUGGAAGAGAGAGAUGUUUUCUAUGACAUUAAAAGUGUUUUUUGUUUGGUGGAUGUGCGUGUUUUCAUAUUCACAGGGGUAGAAUGAAAUGAAUGUUUGUUGAUGCAUUUGUAUUUUUAUCAACACUUUUAGGGACUGCUGUAACCUGUAACCCCUCUCACGGGACACAAAACAAAAAAAAUACAAAAAGACAAAUAAAUAACUAUCUCAGAUC